AGAGUUUGAUCAUGGCUCAGGAUGAACGCUGGCGGCGUGCCUAACACAUGCAAGUCGAACGGAGUUAUGGAAGGAAGUUUUCGGAUGGAAUCCCAUAACUUAGUGGCGGACGGGUGAGUAACGCGUGGGAAACCUGCCCUGUACCGGGGGAUAACACUUAGAAAUAGGUGCUAAUACCGCAUAAGCGCACAGCUUCGCAUGAAGCGGUGUGAAAAACUCCGG
RNAcentral lists this ribosomal RNA (222 nucleotides) under uncultured bacterium. RNAcentral's name for it is "partial 16S ribosomal RNA". It matches the Rfam family "Bacterial small subunit ribosomal RNA", at positions 8 to 214 of the family's 1533-position model. The record is from RNAcentral.